Molecule: long non-coding RNA, 2851 nt
Organism: Chelonia mydas (Green sea turtle)
Lineage: Eukaryota; Metazoa; Chordata; Testudines; Cheloniidae
Exons: 2
Source: RefSeq, a predicted model, not a curated record
CUCGCUGUGAAGCGCCAGCCCCCGUCCCCGGCCCUGGAGAAACAGUCGUCGUGUCACCCCGGGGUGCCGCCCUGCCUUUGUUCCCUCGCUGCGGGGUGGGGACUUGGGAGAGAGUCAGGCACGUCCAGGAUUUUUCUACUUCUGCUUGGAAAUCGGGCAGCGGCCUGUAGGACCGAAGUGACUCAUGCGUCAGACACUGGAAAGUGGCUUAAGCACCAUUAAUCCUGCAAAUGUUCAUGUAACUUUAAAGCCAAAUUUGUGCUCCCCAUCGUCGCUGGUUGUGCCUGAAUCCAGUCCCCCCUGCGUAAUUUAAAACAGCGUGAAGGCUGCUCCACAUUAUGCGGGCUCCAAGAGGCUGUUACGCAGCAACUGGGAUGCAAGGAAAUCCUAGCGAUGCCCCGCUCCAGUUGCAGGGAAGGGGAGCCGCAGAGAAGUCUGUAUGCCACCACGGAGUCCCUCUGCACUGGAGGAUUCAGGUCCAUAUUGUGCUGGCAGAGGCACAAAGGAAGCCCAGUUCUGGGGAAAAUGUAGCCCUAAAUCUUCCCAAAUGUUAUAUUUAAAGGACAAUGCAUAAAAAUGUAAUAUAAGUUUACAGAGGUGCAGUAGUGCUAUGAGAGACAUAAACAUUUCUACAAUUGCUCUUACUACAAAUAACCCAAAUACUUUUCUAUGUGCUUGAACCACUGGCAGGAGAAGAGGUCCAGCAGCCAUUCAGUAUCUCACCUAGCAUAUUGUCCAGGGCUCAGUCAGCUGGUUUCCAAUAGAAUAAUGAGCACAAAUGAGGGAGGAGCUUGGAAAAGUUUGUUACCUUUAUCAAUAUCUAUUAAAUAUUCUGGGGUGCUGGCUAAGGAACCCCUUUUGGGGCAUAGAGCUAAGAUGUGAAAGUCUUCCAGAUCUGUGGAUGGUGUUGGCUUAUUAUGAAUGCACCUACAAUAAUUAAUAAUACUGGACAGUUAUCUAGCAAUUCACAGCUUCAGAGUGUUGUACAAACAGUAAUUAAUCCUCAAACACUCCUGUAAAGUAGGUAUUGCUCCUGUUUUAUAGAUGGGGAAACAAAGACACAGAAAAGUUAUAUCAAAUGACUUUACUUGCACACAGCAAGUCAGUGGCAAAGCCAGGAGUAGAACUCAGAGUUAUUGUCUCAAAACUCUGGGUUUAGAAUGAUAGACUACUGAUAACAUUUUACUUUUACAAUACACCUUCCACCCUGAGGGAUCAGGAAGCAUUUUACAAAACACUGUAAGUGUGAAUCAUUUCAUCCUCACUGAAAUGCAGCAGCUGAAUACACAGGAACACUAUAUAUAGUUGAGAACAAUAUGUUAUUGAAACUGCAGGGAGAAAUUAGAUAGGCAAAAUGUAAUUAUUCAAACUGGAAUGUGGACAGAUACCAAGCUAAUAUCCUAUCUUGCAUAAACAUGCUAUGAGAUAUGUAUUAACCAGAAGUGGUUAGGAUCUCAGUUUAAUAUCUAAAAGACAGCACCAAUAGUACAGUAGUGCUUAUGGCAUCAUGCCACGGCACUGGAUCAAAAGGAAAUAUGCCAUUCACUGAAUCAAUAUCCACUUUUCUUCCUUGGAUAUAUUCUAUCCAAAUGCAUGGAGACCUAACCUGGGUUAGUAGGAGAGGACUUUUAAGGUCAGAGCCUGAGGUGAUGUGGCUGCAGGCUAACAGAUAUGAAUGGAUAGUGCAGAGAAUUGCUUUCUGCAAAAAUCUAUGUUAAAUUGGCAAAUAAUCUAUUUUGCUAGUACAAGACCAUCUACACAUAAGGGACUGACAUACUGUAUUAUUUAUUCAUGCCCUCAGUUUUCUUUUGAAUCACUUUCUUAAUUGUUUUGUAUGAUUGCUGAGCAGUUCGCGUAUUUUUGUAGAUUAUGUGAGCUAAUGUAUUUUUCCUUUGCAGUUUCUAAAACUAAACACUAUCCUAUCUCUUCCACUCUGUCCUCCUUCUCCUGGAAUAACACGUGUAUAUAAGGCAAAAUGUAUAAUGCACCAGUAUCUCCUGCAAAUUGUAACCAACCUUGUUUGUCUGAGUGAUUGUCUGACCAAGAAGUAGGACUGAGUGGACUUGGUAGGCUCUGAAGUUUUACAUUGUUUUAUUGUUGAAUGCAGUUUUUUUGUACAUAAUUGGACAUUUGUAAGUUCAACUUUCAUGAUAAAGAGAGUGCACUACAAUACUUGUAUGAAGUGAAUUGAAAAAUACAAUUAUUUUGUUUUUUACAGUGCAAAUAUUAGUAAUAAAUAUAAAGUGAGCACUGUACACUUUGUAUUCUGUGUUGUAAUUGAAAUUAAUAUAUUUGAAAAUGUAGUAAACAUCCAAAAAUAUUUAACAUAAAUGGUAUUAUAUUGUUAACAGCGAGAUUAAUCGACAUUAUUUUUUUAAUCAUGCGACUAAUCACGAUUAAUUUUUUAAUCGCUUGAUAGCCCAAGUACUGAGUGAAGUAAAGUUGUAAAAUCAAUGUUGGCAAAGCAAUAAAUGAAUCAUUAACGCAUUUCUGAAUUAGCAGAAAUAAUUCUCUGUCUAUAGACACAGAUAGGAUUUCUGCUUGUAUUUCACAAAGAAUCCAGCUUUGACCAUUGUCAAUUCUAUUUUUAAGCAUGUCUGACUGAGACAAGCUCUCAUGUUAUUGUAUUAUUUUACAAUCACGUGAGAUCCUCAGGUCCAGGUGGCUGUUGCGGUUUGUGAACCUGAUUCUUGAUCUGUAAAGUGAUCUCAUCUGAUCUGGCAGAGAGCCGUUUUAUUUUUAGGACAGUCAUUGCUAUGGUUACAGUGAAGGCAGACUUGGUUCUUAGUAUCCCUGAUUGUGGAGCAUUUGCUAUGUAAUUAUUAGUAACAAUAAAAUAAUUGUGAAAUUA